This is a non-coding RNA of Ictidomys tridecemlineatus (thirteen-lined ground squirrel), 72 nucleotides long. The record is from Rfam. Lineage: Eukaryota; Metazoa; Chordata; Mammalia; Rodentia; Sciuridae.
GGGGUUGUGGCUCAGUGGUAGAGUGCUUGCCUUGUACGUGUGAGGCACUGAGUUCAAUCCUUAGCAGCACAU